AAAGUAGCAAUGCUCAAGAGGAAGGUAACUAGCCAUUGCUAGUGCAUGCACAUGCACACUCGUGGAUGUGUUCCAGACAUUUUUUUGACAGCCUUCCCUUUCACUAUGUCCUUUCUGAAAGUGGCUUCAACUGUACAAAAUUUUGUGCUUCAUGUACAUGCUAACUAGAAAAUCAUGUACAUAAAGGGACUGUAAUGGAAAGGAUAGGUUUUUAUACAUGUCAAUGGGAUUUUCAUUUAAAGA
RNAcentral lists this unclassified non-coding RNA (243 nucleotides) under Hevea brasiliensis (rubber tree). The record is from RNAcentral. Lineage: Eukaryota; Viridiplantae; Streptophyta; Magnoliopsida; Malpighiales; Euphorbiaceae.